CCUGAAGGAGCUGAACGUUUUGAUAUAUAAUUUAGUACAAUUAGUGAAAGAUAGUGAAAGUAGUUAAGCGACAAAAAACGUACGGAAGACAGAAUAAUAAUAAUAAUAAUAAUAAUAAAGAUAAAGAAAAACAGAAACACUAUAAUGAGAAUGCAUGGAAUGCAUUCUCACUGAUAAAGAAAAACAGAAACACAAUAGUGAGAAUGCAUGGAAUGCAUUCUCACUGAU
Molecule: non-coding RNA, 228 nt
Organism: Poecilia reticulata (guppy)
Lineage: Eukaryota; Metazoa; Chordata; Actinopteri; Cyprinodontiformes; Poeciliidae
Source: RefSeq, a predicted model, not a curated record